This is a non-coding RNA of Kwoniella shivajii, 97 nucleotides long. Lineage: Eukaryota; Fungi; Basidiomycota; Tremellomycetes; Tremellales; Cryptococcaceae. The record is from the annotation of a RefSeq genome assembly.
CUCUCCGUAGUUUAGUGUGGUUUAGAGCGUCAGACUGUAAUUAGCAUACCUAAAGUUGCUGAUCUGAAAGUCGGGCGUUCGACUCGCCCCGGGGAGA